GUGCUACAGAGUACAAAUAUUCCAACGAUUCCUACAUGCUUUGAAAAGGCAGCAAUAGAUGCGGGUGUAGGUGUAACAUGACUUCUUUUGUUCAUGAUUAGAUGAGUAAUCGCUUGAAUGAAGCUAAAUGCAGUCUGGUAUUAAUUUUUGUAACGUAUUCUCGGUGGGCGACCAUGGAGAUCUCAUCAUAGACGAUUCGUUGACGCAUUGACACAUGGUCAAGAGGCAUGUCAGUGUCCUCCCGGCUCUACAUGUCCGUUUCCGGGAAUUGAUUGGUGAUGACUAGUGCAGUUUGCCUGUACUUUGUUAGCCGCCUGCGCUAAUCACAACACAGAGAGGACGGAACUGUGACUACAUGUGAGAUCGCAAAUGCCGCACUGAUCAGGAAGAUCAAGAGCGACGCUAAAAAAGCCACACACGGACCCGGAAACGACCUAGAAAACAAUGAUGUGAUCACCAAACUGAAAUCAAUGACGUCGACAAUGGAGCUCCGUCACGGCUUGUUGUGUUCUCCAAACAGAUGACAUCAUAGAUGGAUAACGUCAACAAUCAGCUGACGUCAGAGACAAUCAGACUCUCUGCACUGCACGCGACAGACGGAUGUGUUGCUUUCGGAAACCACAUGUCGGCAUAACAAAGGCCAAUACUGAUCAGAUGGCACUGGUGUUUGGAUCAGGUAAGCUUAUAUUUUAAGUUCCUUGAGGUGAAAACAGUUUUAAUUGUAUUUAAACACUGUUGAAAGCUGAAAAGUGACAAUGGCGCGCGUCCAGAAGACUGCUACGGCUUUUUUUAUGCUUCAUUGAUCUUUACGUCUUUAUUUUCUUGUCAUUUCAAGUGAUUUGACAAAUUCGACGUCGAUGUUGAAGCUGUCCCACGCGGACGUAACCUUUGACGUAAUUUAAUAGUCUACCAAUGAAUUAAUUUUGCUGUUUUCAUGCGACGCAAGCAGGUCAUCAAAACAUGUUAUACAUGCUAGUCUAAUGAAGAAGCAGCCACAAGACUUUGGUUACUGAGAUUAAUAACGUCUGACAACCGUCCCAAAUGCCUGGAUUGUCUGUUUCGGGAGGUGAUUGUAUAUUGUCAAUAUUGCAGGAAAUAAAGGCUUAUGUUUUGGAAUACGUUGGUCGGGGUCCUUUCCUGUACAUCUCUGUCGCAAUCAGAGAAUGAGAAACACCGUGUUGCUUUACAAUACCCAUCUGUAGUAACCACGAAGUGCUACAGAGUACAAAUAUUCCAACGAUUCCUACAUGCUUUGAAAAGGCAGCAAUAGAUGCGGGUGUAGGUGUAACAUGACUUCUUUUGUUCAUGAUUUGAUGAGUAAUCGCUUGAAUGAAGCUAAAUGCAGUCUGGUAUUAAUUUUUGUAACGUAUUCUCGGUGGGCGACCAUGGAGAUCUCAUCAUAGACGAUUCGUUGACGCAUUGACACAUGGUCAAGAGGCAUGUCAGUGUCCUCCCGGCUCUACAUGUCCGUUUCCGGGAAUUGAUUGGUGAUGACUAGUGCAGUUUGCCUGUUCUUUGUUAGCCGCCUGCGCUAAACACAACACAGAGAGGACGGAACUGUGCCUACAUGUGAGAUCGCAAAUGCCGCACUGAUCAGGAAGAUCAAGAGCGACGCUAAAAAAGACACACAAGGACCCGGAAACGACCUAGAAAACAAUGAUGUGAUCACCAAACUGAAAUCAAUGACGUCGACAAUGGAGCUACGUCACGGCUUGUUGUGUUCUCCAAACAGAUGACAUCAUAGAUGGAUAACGUCAACAAUCAGCUGACGUCAGAGACAAUCAGACUCUCUGCACUGCACGCGACAGACGGAUGUGUUGCUUUCGGAAACCACAUGUCGGCAUAACAAAGGCCAGUACUGAUCAGAUGGCACUGGUGUUUGGAUCAGGUAAGCUUAUAUUUUAAGUUCCUUGAGGUGAAACAGUUUUAAUUGGUAUCUAAACACUGUUGAAAGCUGAAAAGUGACAAUGGCGCGCGUCCAGAAGACUGCUACGGCUUUUUUUUAUGGUUCAUUGAUCUUUACGUCUUUAUUUUCUUGUCAUUUCAAGUGAUUUGACAAAUUCGACGUCGAUGUUGAAGCUGUCCCACGCGGACGUAACCUUUGACGUAAUUUAAUAGUCUACCAAUGAAUUAAUUUUGCUGUUUUCAUGCGACGCAAGCAGGUCAUCAAAACAUGUUAUACAUGCUAGUCUAUUGAAGAAGCAGCCACAAGACUUUGGUUACUGAGAUUAAUAACGUCUGACAACCGUCCCAAAUGCCUGGAUUGUCUGUUUCGGGAGGUGAUUGUAUAUUGUCAAUAUUGCAGGAAAUAAAGGCUUAUGUUUUGGAAUAUGUUGGUCGGGAUCCUUUCCUGUACAUCUCUGUCGCAAUCAGUGAAUGAGAAACACCGUGUUGCUUUACAAUACCCAUCUGUAGUAACCACGAAGUGCUACAGAGUACAAAUAUUCCAACGAUUCCUACAUGCUUUGAAAAGGCAGCAAUAGAUGCGGGUGUAGGUGUAACAUGACUUCUUUUGUUCAUGAUUAGAUGAGUAAUCGCUUGAAUGAAGCUAAAUGCAGUCUGGUAUUAAUUUUUGUAACGUAUUCUCGGUGGGCGACCAUGGAGAUCUCAUCAUAGACGAUUCGUUGACGCAUUGACACAUGGUCAAGAGGCAUGUCAGUGUCCUCCCGGCUCUACAUGCCCGUUUCCGGGAAUUGAUUGGUGAUGACUAGUGCAGUUUGCCUGUACGUUGUUAGCCGCCUGCGCUAAACACAACACAGAGAGGACGGAACUGUGCCUACAUGUGAGAUCGCAAAUGCCGCACUGAUCAGGAAGAUCAAGAGCGACGCUAAAAAAGCCACACACGGACCCGGAAACGACCUAGAAAACAAUGAUGUGAUCACCAAACUGAAAUCAAUGACGUCGACAAUGGAGCUACGUCACGGCUUGUUGUGUUCUCCAAACAGAUGACAUCAUAGAUGGAUAACGUCAACAAUCAGCUGACGUCAGAGACAAUCAGACUCUCUGCACUGCACGCGACAGACGGAUGUGUUGCUUUCGGAAACCACAUGUCGGCAUAACAAAGGCCAGUACUGAUCAGAUGGCACUGGUGUUUGGAUCAGGUAAGCUUAUGUUUUAAGUUCCUUGAGGUGAAAACAGUUUUAAUUGUAUUUAAACACUGUUGAAAGCUGAAAAGUGACAAUGGCGCGCGUCCAGAAGACUGCUAUGGCUUUUUUUUAUGGUUCAUUGAUCUUUACGUCUUUAUUUUCUUGUCAUUUUAAGUGACGUCGAUGUUGAAGCUGUCCCACGCGGACGUAACCUUUGACGUAAUUUAAUAGUCUACCAAUGAAUUAAUUUUGCUGUUUUCAUGCGACGCAAGAAGGUCAUCAAAACAUGUUAUACAUGCUAGUCUAAUGAAGAAGCAGCCACAAGACUAUGGUUACUGAGAUUAAUAACGUCUGACAACCGUCCAAAAUGCCUGGAUUGUCUGUUUCGGGAGGUGAUUGUAUAUUGUCAAUAUUGCAGGAAAUAAAGGCUUAUGUUUUGGAAUACGUUGGUCGGGAUCCUUUCCUGUACAUCUCUGUCGCAAUCAGUGAAUGAGAAACACCGUGUUGCUUUACAAUACCCAUCUGUAGUAACCACGAAGUGCUACAGAGUACAAAUAUUCCAACGAUUCCUACAUGCUUUGAAAAGGCAGCAAUAGAUGCGGGUGUAGGUGUAACAUGACUUCUUUUGUUCAUGAUUAGAUGAGUAAUCGCUUGAAUGAAGCUAAAUGCAGUCUGGUAUUAAUUUUUGUAACGUAUUCUCGGUGGGCGACCAUGGAGAUCUCAUCAUAGACGAUUCGUUGACGCAUUGACACAUGGUCAAGAGGCAUGUCAGUGUCCUCCCGGCUCUACAUGUCCGUUUCCGGGAAUUGAUUGGUGAUGACUAGUGCAGUUUGCCUGUACUUUGUUAGCCGCCUGCGCUAAACACAACACAGAGAGGACGGAACUGUGCCUACAUGUGAGAUCGCAAAUGCCGCACUGAUCAGGAAGAUCAAGAGCGACGCUAAAAAAGCCAUACACAGACCCGGAAACGACCUAGAAAACAAUGAUGUGAUCACCAAACUGAAAUCAAUGACGUCGACAAUGGAGCUCCGUCACGGCUUGUUGUGUUCUCCAAACAGAUGACAUCAUAGAUGGAUAACGUCAACAAUCAGCUGACGUCAGAGACAAUCAGACUCUCUGCACUGCACGCGACAGACGGAUGUGUUGCUUUCGGAAACCACAUGUCGGCAUAACAAAGGCCAAUACUGAUCAGAUGGCAAUGGUGUUUGGAUCAGGUAAGCUUAUAUUUUAAGUUCCUUGAGGUGAAAACAGUUUUAAUUGUAUUUAAACACUGUUGAAAGCUGAAAAGUGACAAUGGCGCGCGUCCAGAAGACUGCUAUGGCUUUUUUUAUGGUUCAUUGAUCUUUACGUCUUUAUUGUCUUGUCAUUUUAAGUGACGUCGAUGUUGAAGCUGUCCCACGCGGACGUAACCUUUGACGUAAUUUAAUGGUCUACCAAUGAAUUAAUUUUGCUGUUUUCAUGCGACGCAAGCAGGUCAUCAAAACAUGUUAUACAUGCUAGUCUAAUGAAGAAGCAGCCACAAGACUAUGGUUACUGAGAUUAAUAACGUCUGACAACCGUCCAAAAUGCCUGGAUUGUCUGUUUCGGGAGGUGAUUGUAUAUUGUCAAUAUUGCAGGAAAUAAAGGCUUAUGUUUUGGAAUACGUUGGUCGGGAUCCUUUCCUGUACAUCUCUGUCGCAAUCAGAGAAUGAGAAACACUGUGUUGCUUUACAAUACCCAUCUGUAGUAACCACGAAGUGCUACAGAGUACAAAUAUUCCAACGAUUCCUACAUGCUUUGAAAAGGCAGCAAUAGAUGCGGAUGUAGGUGUAACAUGACUUCUUUUGUUCAUGAUUAGAUGAGUAAUCGCUUGAAUGAAGCUAAAUGCAGUCUGGUAUUAAUUUUUGUAACGUAUUCUCGGUGGGCGACCAUGGAGAUCUCAUCAUAGACGAUUCGUUGACGCAUUGACACAUGGUCAAGAGGCAUGUCAGUGUCCUCCCGGCUCUACAUGUCCGUUUCCGGGAAUUGAUUGGUGAUGACUAGUGCAGUUUGCCUGUACUUUGUUAGCCGCCUGCGCUAAACACAACACAGAGAGGACGGAACUGUGCCUACAUGUGAGAUUGCAAAUGCCGCACUGAUCAGGAAGAUCAAGAGCGACGCUAAAAAAGCCAUACACAGACCCGGAAACGACCUAGAAAACAAUGAUGUGAUCACCAAACUGAAAUCAAUGACGUCGACAAUGGAGCUACGUCACGGCUUGUUGUGUUCUCCAAACAGAUGACAUCACAGAUGGAUAACGUCAACAAUCAGCUGACGUCAGAGACAAUCAGACUCUCUGCACUGCACGCGACAGACGGAUGUGUUGCUUUCGGAAACCACAUGUCGGCAUAACAAAGGCCAGUACCGAUCAGAUGGCACUGGUGUUUGGAUCAGGUAAGCUUAUGUUUUAAGUUCCUUGAGGUGAAAACAGUUUUUUAUUGUAUUUAAACACUGUUGAAAGCUGAAAAGUGACAAUGGCGCGCGUCCAGAAGACUGCUAUGGCUCUUUUUUAUGGUUCAUUGAUCUUUACGUCUUUAUUUUCUUGUCAUUUUAAGUGACGUCGAUGUUGAAGCUGUCCCACGCGGACGUAACCUUUGACGUAAUUUAAUGGUCUACCAAUGAAUUAAUUUUGCUGUUUUCAUGCGACGCAAGCAGGUCAUCAAAACAUGUUAUACAUGCUAGUCUAAUGAAGAAGCAGCCACAAGACUAUGGUUACUGAGAUUAAUAACGUCUGACAACCGUCCCAAAUGCCUGGAUUGUCUGUUUCGGGAGGUGAUUGUAUAUUGUCAAUAUUGCAGGAAAUAAAGGCUUAUGUUUUGGAAAACGUUGGUCGGGAUCCUUUCCUGUACAUCUCUGUCGCAAUCAGUGAAUGAGAAACACUGUGUUGCUUUACAAUACCCAUCUGUAGUAACCACGAAGUGCUACAGAGUACAAAUAUUCCAACGAUUCCUACAUGCUUUGAAAAGGCAGCAAUAGAUGCGGGUGUAGGUGUAACAUGACUUCUUUUGUUCAUGAUUAGAUGAGUAAUCGCUUGAAUGAAGCUAAAUGCAGUCUGGUAUUAAUUUUUGUAACGUAUUCUCGGUGGGCGACCAUGGAGAUCUCAUCAUAGACGAUUCGUUGACGCAUUGACACAUGGUCAAGAGGCAUGUCAGUGUCCUCCCGGCUCUACAUGUCCGUUUCCGGGAAUUGAUUGGUGAUGACUAGUGCAGUUUGCCUGUACUUUGUUAGCCGCCUGCGCUAAACACAACACAGAGAGGACGGAACUGUGCCUACAUGUGAGAUCGCAAAUGCCGCACUGAUCAGGAAGAUCAAGAGCGACGCUAAAAAAGCCACACACGGACCCGGAAACGACCUAGAAAACAAUGAUGUGGUCACCAAACUGAAAUCAAUGACGUCGACAAUGGAGCUACGUCACGGCUUGUUGUGUUCUCCAAACAGAUGACAUCAUAGAUGGAUAACGUCAACAAUCAGCUGACGUCAGAGACAAUCAGACUCUCUGCACUGCACGCGACAGACGGAUGUGUUGCUUUCGGAAACCACAUGUCGGCAUAACAAAGGCCAGUACUGAUCAGAUGGCACUGGUGUUUGGAUCAGGUAAGCUUAUAUUUUAAGUUCCUUGAGGUGAAAACAGUUUUAAUUGGUAUCUAAACACUGUUGAAAGCUGAAAAGUGACAAUGGCGCGCGUCCAGAAGACUGCUAUGGCUUUUUUUAUGGUUCAUUGAUCUUUACGUCUUUAUUUUCUUGUCAUUUUAAGUGACGUCGAUGUUGAAGCUGUCCCACGCGGACGUUACCUUUGACGUAAUUUAAUAGUCUACCAAUGAAUUAAUUUUGCUGUUUUCAUGCGACGCAAGCAGGUCAUCAAAACAUGUUAUACAUGCUAGUCUAAUGAAUAAGCAGCCACAAGACUAUGGUUACUGAGAUUAAUAACGUCUGACAACCGUCCCAAAUGCCUGGAUUGUCUGUUUCGGGAGGUGAUUGUAUAUUGUCAAUAUUGCAGGAAAUAAAGGCUUAUGUUUU
This is a long non-coding RNA of Haliotis rufescens (red abalone), 7121 nucleotides long. RefSeq lists it as uncharacterized. The record is from RefSeq and is a predicted model, not a curated record. NCBI's taxonomy places the organism in Eukaryota, Metazoa, Mollusca, Gastropoda, Lepetellida, Haliotidae. The transcript has 2 exons.